RNAcentral lists this ribosomal RNA (443 nucleotides) under uncultured bacterium. RNAcentral describes it as "partial 16S ribosomal RNA". It matches the Rfam family "Bacterial small subunit ribosomal RNA", at positions 338 to 795 of the family's 1533-position model. The record is from RNAcentral.
CCUACGGGAGGCUGCAGUGGGGAAUAUUGGGCAAUGGGCGCAAGCCUGACCCAGCAACGCCGCGUGACGGAAGAAGGCUUUCGGGUUGUAAACUUCUUUUCUGAGGGACGAAGCAAGUGACGGUACCUCCGGAAUAAGCCACGGCUAACUACGUUCCAGCAGCAGCGGUAAUCCUUAGGUGGCAAGCUUUAUCCGGAUUUAUUGGUUGUAAAGGGCGUGUAGGCGGGAAAGCAAGUCAGAGGUGAAAACUCAGGGCUCAACCCUGAGACUGCAUUUGAAACUGUUUGUCUUGAGUGCUGGAGAGGCAAUCGGAAUUCCGGGUGUAGCGGUGAAAUGCGUAGAUAUAAGGAGGAACACCAGUGGCGAAGGCGGAUUGCUGGACAGUAACUGACGCUGAGGCGCGAAAGCGUGGGGAGCAAACAGGAUUAGAUACCCCUGUAGUC